This 523-nucleotide ribosomal RNA is filed under the name uncultured bacterium. Its description in RNAcentral is "bacterial SSU rRNA". It matches the Rfam family "Bacterial small subunit ribosomal RNA", at positions 791 to 1317 of the family's 1533-position model. The record is from RNAcentral.
UAGUCCACGCCGUAAACGAUGGAUACUAGGUGUCCGGGAAGUUAACCUCCUGGGUACUACAGCUAACGCGUUAAGUAUCCCGCCUGGGGAGUACGGUCGCAAGGCUAAAACUCAAAGGAAUUGACGGGGGCCCGCACAAGCGGUGGAGUAUGUGGUUUAAUUCGAUGAUACGCGAGGAACCUUACCAGGGCUUAAAUGUAGUCUGACAGGACUGGAAACAGUUUUUUCUCGGACAGAUUACAAGGUGCUGCAUGGUUGUCGUCAGCUCGUGCCGUGAGGUGUCAGGUUAAGUCCUAUAACGAGCGCAACCCCUGUUGUUAGUUGCCAUUGAGUAAUGUCGGGAACUCUAACAAGACUGCCGGUGCAAACCGUGAGGAAGGUGGGGAUGACGUCAAAUCAUCACGGCCCUUACGUCCUGGGCCACACACGUGCUACAAUGGUAGGUACAGAGAGCAGCCACGUCGCGAGGCGGAGCGAAUCUAUAAAACCUAUCUCAGUUCGGAUCGGAGUCUGCAACUCGACU